UAAACCAAGGUUAAUAUCAAUCGAAGGGUUUGAAAUUCAGUGACAACUUGCAUCUGGAGCACCAAUGUCACAUGAGUUGUGUACUGCUAUAUUUCGGAGGCUUGCCCAACUGGAUCAGUCUUGCUCCAAGGACACGCCCGGUAACAUCUGGAGGAAGUACAUAGAGCCUGACUUUGCUACAACUGUUUUGUCAAACGCCGAUCCAUUGACUGUUCAAUCUAUCCGCACGGGUUUCCAAGAAGGAACAGGUGUUUGCAACCCGGCUUCGUGCAUAAUGGUACGACACAAAUUUUCAUCAGCUGGCCCAUGGCAUUUUUUGAAGAUUGAACAUAAGUAACCAAAUUUUUAUUGUGCAGUGGUUUAUCCCAGCUAUACUCCCAGACGGAUGGGCUGUCUACCUGUUUGAUAUGAUGCGGAAAUGCAUCAUCGUGUUAGACCCAACAGUUGGACCUUUUGGUUAUAGCAAUCGGCGGGUCAGCAUGCAUGAGUUUGUAAGCAACAAACUUCAUGCUGCCCUGUUUAACUGUCUACAUAAUUUCUUCAGCUCUUGGCAUUGCGACUCCACUAACUGGGGUCGCACAUUUCCUAUCAUAAUGCGGGAAAAAAAUAAACAAAGAUGAAACUGGCUUGGGGGCUACGUUCUUUGCAAGGAAUUACGAUGGUGACAGGCUACAAAUCCCAUUGACCAAAGUAAAUAUUUGCCCACGACACGGAAGCCAUGUACUCCUUUUCAAUUAUCUGUGCUAAUACAUUUCUGCUCCUUCCAGGAUACAUUGGAAUCACACGGCAACCUCAUGCUUUACGAGCUGAUGCGGAUGCAAGGGAACCAAACAAAGGCGGCACACGAUUCACUCGAAGCAAUCAAAGGAACG
Non-coding RNA from Aegilops tauschii subsp. strangulata, 872 nucleotides. Lineage: Eukaryota; Viridiplantae; Streptophyta; Magnoliopsida; Poales; Poaceae. The record is from RefSeq and is a predicted model, not a curated record.